UACAGAGGUCUCAAGCGUUGUUCGGAUUCAUUGGGCGUAAAGGGUGCGUAGGUGGCGCGGUAAGUCGGGUGUGAAAUCUCGGAGCUUAACUCCGAAAUUGCAUUCGAUACUGCCGUGCUCGAGGACUGGAGAGGAGACUGGAAUUCAUGGUGUAGCAGUGAAAUGCGUAGAGAUCAUGAGGAAGACCAGUGGCGAAGGCGGGUCUCUGGACAGUUCCUGACACUGAGGCGCGAAAGCGUGGGGAGCGAACAGG
Molecule: ribosomal RNA, 253 nt
Filed under: uncultured bacterium
Lineage: Bacteria
Description: partial 16S ribosomal RNA
Rfam family: Bacterial small subunit ribosomal RNA
Source: RNAcentral